RNAcentral lists this long non-coding RNA (1045 nucleotides) under Homo sapiens (human). RNAcentral describes it as "HSALNT0347308". The record is from RNAcentral. Lineage: Eukaryota; Metazoa; Chordata; Mammalia; Primates; Hominidae.
CUCAGCCUCUCAAACUGCUGGGAUUGCAGGCAUGAACCCUGGGGCUGGUCUGGGGAACUAUUACAUGCCCUGAGAUACAGAAGCACGCAAGACCAACAAGAUCCAUGAGCUUACAUUUGAAGGCAAAGAAAGCUGGAAAAUCUUAUGAAAUCAAUACCAGGAGGAAGGAGAAGACCUGUGAUCUGUUUCUUUCCCUUUAUGAGGAGAUGGUGUACAUGCCCAAGAAGGAGAGAAGAUAGGAGGCCAGGCACAGUAUCCUUGUGAACAUAUCUCUCCCCUGUGAGAAACCAGCCACCAUGUUGUAAGCAGCCCUGUGGCGAGACCCACAUGAGGAAGACCAGGGCUUGCCAACAUCCUCUGAAUGCACGUGGAAACAGAUCUCUGUCCCUCCCCUCAAGGCCCAGCUGUGCAUCCAAAUGAGAUCACAGCCUUUGUUGACAGCUUGACAGUCUCCUCAUGAGCCAGAGAAAUCAGCUAGGUGACUCUCAGAUUUCAGACGCACAGAAACUGUGAGAUAAUAAAUGCUUAUUGCUUUAAAUGCUAAAUUUUUGGGGUUAUUGAUUAUGCAGCAAUAGAUAAGAUAGAUGAAGUGUGCAAUGGGAAUGAUAAAUUCUACAGUGGGCCCUAGGUCACUGUAAACAGGAGCCACAGUGAUAUAAUCCCAAGUCUCCAGUGUGGCAUGAGGCUGAGAGCAUACUAGGGUUUAUCUAACUUCUUGGUUUUGAGUUUCUUUCCAUUUCCCUAGGCUGAGGCUAAAUUGGGAUUUGCUAUGGUGAGAAUGUGUCUUCUAAAUUUCAUGUAUUGGAAACUUUCCCCAAAUUUAUAUAUUAAUGAUAUUUGGAGGUAGGACUUUUGAGAGAUAACUAGGAUUAGAUAAGGUCAUAAAAGUGGGGUCUCCAUGAUGAGACUCAAGGCUUUAUAAAAAGAGGAGGAAGGAACUGAGUUGACGUGCUCUUGCCCUCUCGCCAUGUGGUACCUUCUGCCAUGUUAUGACACAUUAAGAAGGCCUUCAUCAGAUGCGGCUCCUUGAUUUUGGACUUCCUAG